AUGAGUGGCGAACGGGUGAGUAACACGUGAGUAACCUGCCCUCUUCUUUGGGAUAACGCCCGGAAACGGGUGCUAAUACUGGAUAUUCAUUGAUCUUCGCAUGGGGGUUGGUGGAAAGGUUUUUUCUGGUGGGGGAUGGGCCCGCGGCCUAUCAGCUUGUUGGUGGGGUGAUGGCCUACCAAGGCUUUGACGGGUAGCCGGCCUGAGAGGGUGACCGGUCACAUUGGGACUGAGAUACGGCCCAG
RNAcentral lists this ribosomal RNA (245 nucleotides) under uncultured bacterium. Its description in RNAcentral is "partial 16S ribosomal RNA". It matches the Rfam family "Bacterial small subunit ribosomal RNA", at positions 91 to 334 of the family's 1533-position model. The record is from RNAcentral.